AUGUUAAUUAAAGGUAAGAGGCCAAUGAUUGCAAGCUAAAUUAAAAUGCUUGAAGGCUUCAUCAAGCUCACAUUGAAGAUAAUAAAACUAAUUCUACAUUGAAGGCUUCAUCAAGCUUUCCUUUUUAAAUUCAUGCCUCAAAAUGAGACUUUUGGUUUUCCUUCAGAAAUUUAAGGGUGCUUUAUUUUAUCUUUUUUUUGUUAAUCUGCUACUUAUUUCAGUCUCUUGUCCAAAUGCAAUAUGUUACUUCAGCCAUUAAUGCUUUACAAUUUUAUGCAAAUGUUCAGCCAACCAUAAGGGGGAGGAAUGUUUAUGUCCAGUUUUCCUCACAUCAAGAACUAACAUCAAUGGAUCAAAAUCAAGGGCGUGGAGAUGAGGAUGGCAUUUUAGAGUUCUCAUGUUUAAGUUAAAAGUUAUUACUGAAAGUUCAUGGUGUCAAUCGAUAAUUGAUCCAUGUAACGACUCAUAUGGUAGUAUAUAUUUUGAUAAAUAGACUUAUGAAUAAGUUAUCUGUGCUUGGAUACAUGGUUACAUUAGUGCUUGUUUUGAGUGUUUUAAAAUAUGCUUCUUAAGAAGCUAGAUAAUUUAUUGUGUAGUGGAAUGUAGCUUCUGUUUCUAUAUAUUAUGUAUAAGCAAUUGCCCUGUAUAA
This is a non-coding RNA of Arachis ipaensis, 649 nucleotides long. Lineage: Eukaryota; Viridiplantae; Streptophyta; Magnoliopsida; Fabales; Fabaceae. The record is from RefSeq and is a predicted model, not a curated record.